Molecule: long non-coding RNA, 1552 nt
Filed under: Physcomitrium patens
Lineage: Eukaryota; Viridiplantae; Streptophyta; Bryopsida; Funariales; Funariaceae
Description: long non-coding RNA (PPAT_LNC004418)
Source: RNAcentral
AAGAAACACAAAGUAUUCAUAUAAAUCUUUUAAAGAAUCAUAAAGAAAUAACAUAGAAAUUAAAAAAUAUACUAAAAUAGAAACCUUAAUAAAAUAUUAAAAUAUAAACCUUAAUUAAAUCCUAAUCAAAUUCUAUUCAAAUCUUAAUCAAAUCUUAAUUAAAUCCUAAGCAAAUCCUAAUAAAAUCUUAGACAAACCUUGAUCAAAUCGUAGUCAAAUCCUAAAAAAAUCCUAUCCAAAACCUAACAAAAUCCUAAAAAAACUCUUACCACAUCCUAAACAAAUCCUAACCAUACUCUAAACAAUCCCUAAUCAAAGCCUAAAUAAUCCCAAGUAAUUCUUAUAACACAUUUAAAUCUCAAUAAUUAAUGAAUGAACCAUUGAUUUUAACUCAAAAUUUACAUACCUCUUAAUAAUUAAGUUAAAAAUAAAUACACAAAUUUUGAAGAAGAUUGAACUCACCAAAAAGAAGAUCGAUCCUAAUAUUUGCUUAGAUAUUGGCCAGCCUCCUUCCCCAUUUUGAAUGUUGAAUUUUUAGCAUCAAUAUCUUCUUAUUGAACUAUUUAAUUGAUUUUAAAAUUUUCACAUAAGUAGAAAAAUAAAUCUACUAUCCACACAUAUAAUUUUCACUCUAAUCCAACUAAUAGAUUGUAAGAAAUCUUAGAAAUUGUUAUUAGGCCUAAAACUCUACUUUCCAAGAUCUUGACCUACUUAAAUCUCAAUUAUCCUCAAUAUAGCCCUUAGAUCAAGCUCAAACUUAUAGCAUAUAUUGAACACAUAUAAACUCACAAACCCUCAAAUUUUCAUCUAUAGAUCUAUUGCUAAACUUAUGAAAUUCUCUAAUAAGUAUCUCUUAUUUUAUUUCACAAAUCUAGAGUCAUCCAAAACAAACCAUGACUUUGUAAAGCUCUUAGAAAUUCAAUAAGAAUCCAAAUCAUCCAAAACUAAUGUUCAUCAAAACUUUCUCAAGUUUGCUCUCUAUUCCUACUCUUUGAUUUGCCAAAAAAUCCCAGAAUCGUCGUCAAAGCUUGGUUUUGUGCCUUAGGGUCUGAUUUCGACCCUGGUUCAUAACCGGCCCUCAACAGGUAUCAAUAUCUAAUUUUUCUAGAUAAAUUUUACUAGAAACUACUCUCAACUUCUUUCCAAAGGUGCCUAUGUUGUUUAUUUUUCUAAUUUACCUUAUUUUUCUCUAUUUGUAGUCCUACAAAGUGAGUAGAAGCCUAUUUUACAAAAAGGCAAUAUUAGCACUUUUAAUUUUUCUAUCUCUUGACUAUUAUCUAUUUUUCCAAGAUAAUUUGUUAUAAUAUAUUUAAAAUAAGUUCUUCAAAAAUAUGUUAUUUUCUUCAUCUUUUCACCUAUUAGCAAUUUUACAUCAUGACAUCCACCCCCUCUACUGAAUCCAUGUAUCCUCCAACAUACAUCCAGUUUUUCAUAUCAUUUUUAUGUAGAAUGGCCUUUAUCUUGAUCAAAUUCUUCAUCUUUAACUUGUUCUUCUUCUUCCAUCUCAAUAUUCUCUAGUAGAUUUAGUUCUUUAUUAAAACAAAUGUCUUCA